AAUUUGGCCUGCCCCCUGAUUUAAAGUUUAAAGGGCCGCAGUAUUAAUAACUGUGCAAAGGUAGCAUAAUCAUUAGGUUUUUAAUUGGAAUCUUGUAUGAAUGGUUAGACAAAAGAAUAACUCUCUUUAUAUUAGUAUUGAAUUUAACUUUUAAGUGAGAAGGCUUAAAUUAACUAAGGGGACGAUAAGACCCUAUAAAACUUUUACAUUGUAAUCAUAUUUUAGAAAAUUUUUAAGAUAAAGAUUUAAUUUGGUUAUUUGUUAUGUUGGGGAGACAUAAGUAAAAUAUUAUUUUAACUGCUUGAUGAUUUAAAUACAAUUAUUAGUGAUAAAAAUGUAGAAGAUCCUUUAUAAAGAUUAAUAGAUUAAGUUACUUUAGGGAUAACAGCGUAAUUUCUUUUAAGAGUUCUUAUCGAAAAAGAAGAUUGCGACCUCGAUGUUGAAUUAAAAAAUCUAUAUAAUGAAGAGGUUAUAUAAGAGGGUCUGUUCGACCUUUAAAAUUUU
RNAcentral lists this ribosomal RNA (504 nucleotides) under Geothelphusa kumejima. RNAcentral describes it as "partial 16S rRNA". It matches the Rfam family "Bacterial large subunit ribosomal RNA", at positions 1851 to 2597 of the family's 2925-position model. The record is from RNAcentral. Lineage: Eukaryota; Metazoa; Arthropoda; Malacostraca; Decapoda; Potamidae.